UACGUAGGGGGCAAGCGUUGUCCGGAAUCAUUGGGCGUAAAGAGCGUGUAGGCGGUCCGUUAAGUCGGCUGUGAAAGUCCAGGGCUCAACCCUGGGAUGCCGGCCGAUACUGGAUGGCUUGAAUCCGGGAGAGGGAUGCGGAAUUCCAGGUGUAGCGGUGAAAUGCGUAGAUAUCUGGAGGAACACCGGUGGCGAAGGCGGCAUCCUGGACCGGCAUUGACGCUGAGGAGCGAAAGCCAGGGGAGCAAACGGG
RNAcentral lists this ribosomal RNA (253 nucleotides) under uncultured bacterium. Its description in RNAcentral is "partial 16S ribosomal RNA". It matches the Rfam family "Bacterial small subunit ribosomal RNA", at positions 524 to 776 of the family's 1533-position model. The record is from RNAcentral.